CGGCGGACGGGUGAGUAAUGUCUGGGAAACUGCCUGAUGGAGGGGGAUAACUACUGGAAACGGUAGCUAAUACCGCAUAACGUCGCAAGACCAAAGAGGGGGACCUUCGGGCCUCUUGCCAUCAGAUGUGCCCAGAUGGGAUUAGCUAGUAGGUGGGGUAACGGCUCACCUAGGCGACGAUCCCUAGCUGGUCUGAGAGGAUGACCAGCCGCACUGGAACUGAGACACGGUCCAG
Molecule: ribosomal RNA, 235 nt
Filed under: uncultured Enterobacterales bacterium
Lineage: Bacteria; Pseudomonadati; Pseudomonadota; Gammaproteobacteria; Enterobacterales
Description: partial 16S ribosomal RNA
Rfam family: Bacterial small subunit ribosomal RNA
Source: RNAcentral